CACACGACUCUCGGCAACGGAUAUCUCGGCUCUCGCAUCGAUGAAGAACGUAGCGAAAUGCGAUACCUGGUGUGAAUUGCAGAAUCCCGCGAACCAUCGAGUCUUUGAACGCAAGUUGCGCCCGAGGUCUCUCUGCCGAGGGCACGCCUGCCUGGGCGUCACGC
This 164-nucleotide ribosomal RNA is filed under the name Kengyilia rigidula. RNAcentral's name for it is "5.8S ribosomal RNA". It matches the Rfam family "5.8S ribosomal RNA". From Rfam's summary of the family: 5.8S ribosomal RNA (5.8S rRNA) is a component of the large subunit of the eukaryotic ribosome. It is transcribed by RNA polymerase I as part of the 45S precursor that also contains 18S and 28S rRNA. The record is from RNAcentral. Lineage: Eukaryota; Viridiplantae; Streptophyta; Magnoliopsida; Poales; Poaceae.